GGCAGGCGGCUUUUGUGUGUCCCCUCUGCUGGCUCUUGUUUUUUCCAGGGGCUCUGCGUGCCUCUGCGUGAGAAAACUCAUCGCGUUGUGUCGCGUUGAACAACAGAGACGGAGGGAAAAUAAUGACAGAGCCCUACCCGUCCCCAGGACACUUCUCCGCCCUGGGUUGUGGCUCUUUUGUCUGUCGUGCCUGAGUGAAGAGCGAGGUGGCCCCGGCUCCCUCUGCGUGGGGACAAACAAUGGUGAAACCGCACAGGCUUGUAAGAGUGUGGAAGUCGUUAAUUUUGUCAGCUAUAAAUAUCUUUAUUACUGCGUUUGAAGUCAGUGAAGCUAAUAUGGGACUUCAUAGCUGUGUAAAUAACCUGUGUUCAGGAGCAGUCUGUAUAUUAUUGCCAGUUUCUAAGUUUCACCAGGAGCAUCACGGCUUUCUUUGGUGCAUUAAUACACAAUGCUGAUAAUGAAAUUAUGGUUCCCACUAACAUAAAUAGGAGCAGACCUUAUCAGGCACCUUUUCCUUUCCCAAUGAUAGCUUUAUAGCUUUGCCUUCUGUCCUAGAAAAGGGUCUGUCAAAGCAUACAGGCUGCUUGGAGGGAAAUUUAGAAAGGCAGGUACCAUCAGAGCAGUCUGUUUUGACAACCAGAGACUUGAGUUUGUCACUCACUUAUGAGCUGCAGGAACCUUCAUCAAGAUAAGUGGGAAGUAACUUCUAUGGUUUCUGGUGUUUCGUUGUUUAUUUUUGUGAGGUUUUUUGUCAGCUUUGUAUCCAAACUAGCUUAGUUUAAAGCUAAAUAAUUUAGAAAUUUUUGAUGGGAUUGCUAUAUGCUGGUAAUUUAAAAAACUAAUGUUCCAGUGAACAGAUGGACGUUUAAAUCUGGAAAUUGCAGACAUUAAUAUGGCAGAGUUUAAUUUAGGGGCAUCUUGAGACAUGUAUUAUUAUGUAAAAGUGCUCAUGCUAAAGCAAAUGAAGAGAAAUGAGCAGGAUUGCUUUUGGAAACUUCUGACGUGUUGCCAGUGAUUCACCAGCAGUCUGGAUGGAAGCCAUUAUCAAUCUUGGUUGAAUUAAGCAUCACAGAAGUUGAGAUUCAGUGAGUGUGUAUAUUAAAAUAAUGCUUUACUUACUUUGUAUGUGGUUCAGAAGUCUUGGGUGACACAAGUGCUGACUACCUUUGAUAGUGAUGGCAAAGACUGACAUCCCAUUUAAUUGGGGUCUCUAUCUCUUAACUAACCGGUGCUGUAAAAGGGUUUUUCAUGAUACUUAGAAAAUUGACCUUUCCCAGUCUGUAAUAUGUAGUGAUAGGAAGGAUAAUUACCUUUGUUUUUUUUUUUAUUCCGCACCAAGAAUUAUGGUUUACAUGCUGGAUACUUGAGGAAAAAAAGUUUCAUCCAUUUGAAAGAACUUUUGGAGUCACAGCUUUCCAAUGGUAUGACGUGUAAAGCUGAAUUAGAAAGAAAGAACUCACCUGCAUGUAGGUUUCCAAACUACCCAAGAAUCUCAGAACAGUGAUGCAGAAGCCACUAUAAAGUAUCUUUUAAGCAGGUGACCUUUAUAAAACUUUGUAAUUUUUUGCAAAGCCUACUCAUUGUUUAAAAUUCUUUUGUAUUUUGAAAUUAAUGUCUUGCACUGUACUAGGUAAUGAAUGUGAAACCAUUAUCAUACAGGAAUAAAGAUAUAAUAUGCUCCUAUUGUGAAAGAUCAUUGUAUAAACAUGCUGCACCAACUGAAAUUUCAAUAUGACCUUCAAGAUUCCAUGUAGGCUCUGUUACAGUAAUGUAGUCUGAAGUCUAGGGACUCUGAUAACUGAGAAAGAAAACCACAAAUGUUUACUUACGUUAUAUUACUUUCCUUUCUGUGCAGAGAUUCCACAGUGUGCCCCAAAUUAGGUGCAGUUCCCAUCACUGAGUGUGACCACUUGUUUUUCUGAAGAAGUGCAUCUCUUGAUAAUUAUCUUUUGCAUCAGUUUCAUUUUCUUUGUUACCAGUACAGUAAAAGUUGAAAUGGUAUUAGAUUUCCAAGGGCUAACUGAUUUCCUAAUGAGGUUUAUUUGUGGAAGUGUGUUAAUGGGCAAGAAGGUGCAAAAGUCCUGAUCGUUUAUUAUAAAUAGAUUUUUCUGAUAUAAAAAUAAUUUCUGGUUAGAAGGCUUGAGGAAACAGCUUUCCUGUUACUGCAUGGUAGCAACAUAUUUGGUGCUAUCAGCUGAAGAAGAAAGAGAUUUUGGUGAUAGAAAUAGC
Molecule: long non-coding RNA, 2229 nt
Filed under: Corvus moneduloides (New Caledonian crow)
Lineage: Eukaryota; Metazoa; Chordata; Aves; Passeriformes; Corvidae
Description: lncRNA (ENSCMUG00000019391.1)
Source: RNAcentral